ACGUACGGUACGAACGUUAUUCGGAAUUACUGGGCUUAAAGAGUUCGUAGGCGGCUUGUCAAGUGGGGUGUGAAAUCCCUCGGCCUAACCGAGGAACUGCGCCUCAAACUGGCAGGCUUGAGGGAGACAGGGGUGAGCGGAACUGUUGGUGGAGCGGUGAAAUGCGUAGAUAUCAACAGGAACACCGGUGGCGAAGGCGGCUCACUGGGUCUCUUCUGACGCUGAGGAACGAAAGCUAGGGGAGCGAACGGG
This 252-nucleotide ribosomal RNA is filed under the name uncultured bacterium. RNAcentral's name for it is "partial 16S ribosomal RNA". It matches the Rfam family "Bacterial small subunit ribosomal RNA", at positions 525 to 776 of the family's 1533-position model. The record is from RNAcentral.